Biomphalaria glabrata is the source of this 2645-nucleotide long non-coding RNA. RefSeq lists it as uncharacterized. Lineage: Eukaryota; Metazoa; Mollusca; Gastropoda; Planorbidae. The transcript is spliced from 4 exons. The record is from RefSeq and is a predicted model, not a curated record.
ACUAUACUAAUGGAACAACAGCUCCUAGUUUUUACUAGGGGAGUGCCGUCGCGCAUCAUUUUCACGCAUGGUGCAAUAUGGAGAAAUUCAGGAGGAUGCAAAAGAAGAAAUUUACUCCUCCAGUCACUUGGACUGACCUUCAAUGAGAGUAAAACUUUCCUACGCUUUAUUUUAUUAGAUCUCUAAAAACUUCAUCCAUUUUCUCACAAUGUUUUGUGAUUUAUAAAAUUUUCCUGAAUAAGGGAUCGUCACAAAAGUUAUUUUUUUAAGGCCACCCCAUUAAAAUAGCUGUUUUCAGUACUUUCACAUUUGGGUAUUUUACAGAAAAUCUGGAUUUUUUUUUAUGUCCAUUAAAUCAUUAUCAUCUGUCCCGCGUAACUAAAUCCUCCACUUUUCCCGGUCACCAAUGUUCUUAACAAGAGAGAGAGGCUGGUCCAUUAUUUGCGUAGUCCAGCCAGCUUUUCUUCUGACAAACCUUUUUUCGUUUAUUCUCUUAAAGGAUAUUUUUUUUAAAGUUAGUCUUACAAAAUACAAUUCCAAACCAACUCAUGCAGUUAUCGUCUUUUCACAGUAUUGAGGAGUCAUCCUUUUUGCCAGCCAGAGUGUUAAUUGGCAAAAUUAUUAACAAGUAGAACCAUGCCAACCAGUUCUGAUGAUGUACCAGAAUGGCUCAAGGAUCAUACUUAUACUAUUUCUACUCUCUGGGCAGACAUUAAUAAUAUUGGCAUCCAUUCAAUAUUUAUUUUAUGUUUGGAAAUGCAAGAAAAAGGCAUGCAUUCCUGACAAGUCAAUGAUUGGUUGCACCUCUUAAAGAUAACUUUCUGUUAUGAGAAAAGAUGAGAUUCUUGGACUCCUGCAUAGCACCACCAGAAAGGAAAAUCCCAUCAUGUUGCAAAAUAAAAGUCUUGGACCAAUUUUAAUUUAAGAUAUAUAUAUUAUACUGUAAGCUCUAUACAUAUUUAUGUAUAUCCUGUCAUUCAGCCAACAGGUUUGGAUUUAGUAUUUCUUUAAAUCUGUUUGAUAUUGUACUUGAAAACUAUUAAUCUGAGCCCCAUUAAAACAAUAGGGAGUGCAGUGAAUGAGUGGUAAAGCACUUGGCUUCUGAACUGAGGGUUCCUGGGUUCAAUUAAGACUGGGAUUUUCAAUUUCAGAAUUCAAAAGGCUAGGGAUACAUGGCAAUAGUAAGGAAUAAGUAAAGGCAGUUUGGGGAUCCAUGGCUGAAUGGUUAAGUCAUGGGUUUGAAUCUCUGUGAAGACUCGGAUUAAAUUUUUUUUUAGAUUUUUGGGUGCCCCUGAGUCCACCUAACUCUAAUGGGUAGCUGACUUUUGUUUUGGAAAGUAAAGAUGGUUGGUUGUUGUGCUGGCCACAUGAUGCACUGGCCAAAGAAUCAAAUGACCUUAACAUCAUCGGCCCUAUAGAUUGUGACGUCUGAAAUGGGAUUUUUUUUUCAAAAGGUGGUUGGUUGUUGUGCUGGGUACAUGACACCCUCGCUAACCAUGGGGCACAGAAACUGAUAAACUUUAUAUCAUCUGCCCCAUAGAUUGCAAGAUAUGUAAGGGAAAUUUUACUUUUUUAAAAUUAAAAUAAGAAUCUAUCAAAAGUAAACAUAAAAUAUGGUGCAUUCUCCUUAAAACUAAAGCCUGGUGCGAAGGUUUAAAAUGUUGGCAAAAAAAAGCAACAUCAUAUAUAUUCUUAAUUCCCUUUGCAAAACUUACUGAGAAGAACAUGCAUGUUGUUCCCUCAUAAUUUUCUUGACAGAGGAAAUCUUGUUUAUAUUAGAUUUGAAUUAAGCAAAUUAAGAAAAAAAUUAUAAUCAUUAUUUCAAAUGGUUGUAUCUAAACCUUAUGAAUUAUUUUUCCGUUAUAAGUAUAUUGAGAUUAAUGGAUAAUCAUGAAAUUGUUAAAUAAUUGCUGCUAUCAUUCCAUUGACUAAAGAACCAUAAUUUUUUUUUUUUUUAAAUUAAUUUCAAAAUGAUUUUUUUCAAGCAUAGAGUUCACAUAGAUCUUGAGCGAAUUUUUUUUUUUUAUUUGACUAAUGCUUCAAUUUUAUUGUAUCAUAUUAGUUGUUAAUUUUUAUUACCCAGAACAUUUAAAAAAUGAGUACACUAUUUUCAUGUAAUAAUGUAACUUGGUAUUCACACAAUGCUCAAAAUACACCAUAAUCUUUAGGCCAUACAGAUUUGUAUAAAUUAACUUGUUUAAAUACAUUGUAAAUGUAUAUUGUUUGGAUAAGAAUAAAGUUUUUCUGUAGACAAUUAUUGUUCAAGAUUUGUUGAUGCUCCUGCUUAAUCAAUUAUAUAUACAGGUCAUUAGUUUUAACACGUCUGAUAAUAAAUGACAGUACAAGUUAGUGAAUGAAAAUUUGUCAUUAUUUCAGCUGCUUUAGUCCUACAUCAAUGUGAGGUACCAGUACUUUGAUUGUGUCAUAUAACAAUUUAAAGCAACAUUUUGAAAUGAAUAGUCUGUAGAAUUGACAGUAAAUACAUUUAAGUGAUGGGCUGUGAUCUGCUUGAAUUGGGAGCUGAUCAUGUAUUGAAUUUGUGUUUUUGAUCUUUACUUCAAGUAAAUGUUAAUGAGCAAUUAAUUUUUAAUGAAUAAAUAAUUUAAAAAUAAAUACAAAAGAACCAUAAACAUCUACUUUAGUUU